This 200-nucleotide unclassified non-coding RNA is filed under the name Orbiliomycetes sp. RNAcentral describes it as "partial internal transcribed spacer 2". Lineage: Eukaryota; Fungi; Ascomycota; Orbiliomycetes. The record is from RNAcentral.
UUAAGUUCAGCGGGUAUCCUUAUCUGAUUUGAGGUCAAACUUCAGUCCGCGAAGGGACAUCAGGUUUAACGCCGCUCACCAACGCCAGAUUAUGAAAAAAUGUAAACACCAACUUCAUAAAACCUAGCAAUAGCUUACGGUCGUGCAGCAAGUUUUAAAGCGGAGGCGAGCCAUAGGCUCAGGCCUCACGCCCAGUACCA